UUAACAAAUUAGACAAGUAUUUAUCUGUUGGAUGAAAGAAUAUCUUGGGUAAGCACUGUUUUUCUUUGCAUCUCCUUUCCUUGAGAGUCAAUCUUCAGUUCUGGGAAGGAGGUAUGUGAAAUCAUUGUAAACUUACAGCAAGUUUUCUGAGGGUUGUGGGCGUGGAUCUUCUGCUACCAAUUAAAUAAAGCUUGUUUUGUCAUA
RNAcentral lists this long non-coding RNA (204 nucleotides) under Bos taurus (domestic cattle). Its description in RNAcentral is "long non-coding RNA NONBTAT018060". Lineage: Eukaryota; Metazoa; Chordata; Mammalia; Artiodactyla; Bovidae. The record is from RNAcentral.